GCGAAACCUCCGCAAUGCGAGCAAUCGCGACGGGGGGACCCCAAGUGCCACUCUUAACGGGGUGGCUUUUCUUAAGUGUAAAAAGCUUUUGGAAUAAGGGCUGGGCAAGACCGGUGCCAGCCGCCGCGGUAACACCGGCAGCCCGAGUGGUGGCCAUUCUUAUUGAGACUAAAGCGUUCGUAGCCGGCCUGAUAAGUCUCUGGUGAAAUCCUACAGCUUAACUGUGGGAAUUGCUGGAGAUACUAGUAGGCUUGAGGUCGGGAGAGGUUAGCGGUACUCCCAGGGUAGGGGUGAAACCCUAUAAUCCUGGGAGGACCACCUGUGGCGAAGGCGUCUCACCAGAACGGACCUGACGGCAAGGGACGAAAGCUAGGGGCACGAACC
RNAcentral lists this ribosomal RNA (384 nucleotides) under uncultured prokaryote. RNAcentral describes it as "bacterial SSU rRNA". It matches the Rfam family "Archaeal small subunit ribosomal RNA", at positions 341 to 725 of the family's 1478-position model. The record is from RNAcentral.